RNAcentral lists this ribosomal RNA (254 nucleotides) under uncultured bacterium. Its description in RNAcentral is "partial 16S ribosomal RNA". It matches the Rfam family "Bacterial small subunit ribosomal RNA", at positions 524 to 776 of the family's 1533-position model. The record is from RNAcentral.
UACGAGGGGGGCAAGCGUUGUUCGGAAUUAUUGGGCGUAAAGGGCGCGUAGGCGGUGCGGUAAGUCUGAUGUGAAAUCUCCGGGCUCAACUCGGAGUCUGCAUCAGAAACUGCCGUGCUCGAGUGUGGGAGAGGUGAGUGGAAUUCCCGGUGUAGCGGUGAAAUGCGUAGAUAUCCGGAGGAACACCGGUGGCGAAGGCGGCUUCCUGGACCGAUUACUGACGCUGAGGCGCGAAAGCUAGGGGAGCAAACGGG